Molecule: long non-coding RNA, 9538 nt
Organism: Sarcophilus harrisii (Tasmanian devil)
Lineage: Eukaryota; Metazoa; Chordata; Mammalia; Dasyuromorphia; Dasyuridae
Source: Ensembl
AAAGAGAGAGACAGGCAGAGAGACAGAGAGAGAGAGAGAGAAGCACCUGCUCUCUCUGUGCAUGGAGAGGAAUCGUAGAAUUUAGACCUGAAAAGAACCUUUGAAAUACUCUAAUACAACACCUUCUUUUUAAAGAGGAAAUUGUACUUAGUUGUGUGCAUUCUAAAAGAAGUCUCCACAGUCCUCUGAUAUCUCAACUCUCUCUACACUCCUCAUCAUCUCCAAUGAAUAUCCAAUGAAUCUAGUUAUUAUUCCAUUGUCUCAGCUAAGGAGGUGAACUUUGAUAUGUAAAAAUGGCAGGAAUUUUUAAAAAAUAAAUUUGCUGUCCUAUUCCCCAUACUUAACAAAAUCAGAUGAAGUCAACCUUUAAAAUAGUAAGAGAAUUGAGAAAAAAAGAAUGCAGUAACAUGAGAACCUUCUUAGAACCUAAGGAAGAAAAAUGGAGAUAACUGGAUAGCCAACUUAUUCAUAAAUUGAAGAUUUCUUUUUUGGAAUACAUACAUGAGCACAUAACAGAGAUAUUUCAAAGCCUGAAGAAAAAGCAUAAAGGUAAAAGUGAGUACACAAUGAAAAACUAGACGAUUAAUGGAUUAUUAUAUGUUAUAGAUAUUAAUAGGAUUAUAAUAUAUACACGUAAAUACAUAUAUUAGAUAUUAUAUAUAUAUGUGUGUGUAUAUAUAUAUAUAUAUAUAUACACAUGUGUUACUUAAAUAACACCAUCUUCACCCACCCACCCGCCCAACCACAGGGUACAAAUCUCAGCAUGAUGUGUUUUUACUUUGUUUUUGGUUUUUUUCUUUUCUUGUGCUUGUGCUCAGAGUUUCGUGCAGUCUUUGAUUUAAUUUCCCCCCUCUCCCCCCAGCCACUUGUCUGUGCUGUGACUUUAGUCAAGUCAUUCUUCUCCCCCCUUUAAUCCCCAAUCUCCUUAUAUGUAAAAUGGUAUAAUAUUUUAUCUUCUUAAGAACAAAAACUAUGUUUUACUCACUUCUCUUUCUGUACCACCAAGAUGUUUUUCUGCACAGAGUAGGAGCUCAAGGAAUUAUUUUUAACACAAGAAUGUUGGGAAAAACCAAAUGAGAUCUACCUAAAGGGCUUUAUUACUGGAAAGUGUUAUAUACGUGUACCUUAGUAUUAUUCUUUUUUAUUAUUCUUAGAGUUACUGGCCUUUGUAAUUACAUUUCACAUUCUUCCUGCUUCUAUGUUCUUUUUUCCAUUUAUAGUUAUUUUGAUAAAAAAUGUCACCAAGGGCAAUUCCACAUCAGUGAGGAUUCACUGGAGCUUCACUGUGAAUGGGUGGGUUAUUACUCACUAAUAGAACCAUUUCAAGAUAAAGUUGAAAUCAUUAUGAAUCAAGUAUGGUUGUUCCUAGGUUUAAUUUACUGUUAGACUGUUAAUUAUGUUUGCGUCAAUGCAACCAUGGUUGUUAAAAGUACAGAAUUCAAAGGUGAAUUCCAUAGAAAGAGCUUACUUUCAGAUAUUACAUUAUAUCAGGUAUAUUCUUUAUGAUAGUACACACAUUUAUUAAUAGUAGAAAAAAUGUUUUUCAAGUAUUAGCUAUCAAAGAGGACUAUCUAGAAUCAUGUAUCCCAAUCUCAGUUCCCUUAACAAGACCCUAAAGGGGUUUCCUGUGGUCCUUAACGUAAGAAGUAAUGUGAUGUCCAAAAUAUAAGAGGUGAGAAUCCUUCGCAGAUCAGAUCUUGAAUAUUGUGUUCAGUUCUGAGUCUAAUAUUUUAGGAAGGACAUUAUUGUUCCUGGAGCCUCUCCAAAGAAGAGCAACAACUAGGAUAGUGAAAGGACAAGAAGGCAGGAUAUAGGAAGAUCAUUUGAAAGGAAUCUCGAGCCUGAAUGAAGGGGUGAUCCAGGAGUCAUCAUCGGAGGCUUUCAGAUAGAGGCUGGAUGAUCCCUCUCCAGAGAUGCAAUAGAGGACUUCUUAUUCAGAUCGGAUCUUUUCUGGAUGCAGCCUGAAGCCUCCUCCUACAAUGGCUUCUUAUACUUCAGCAUGUACAUCCUGCCCUGAUAUCUUGACUCUUUCUCUCUAGUCAGUAGUAUUCACAUUUAGUAUAGGAUAUAGGUAAUGGCAGCCAGUAAAAAUCAUUCCAUGGGAAUUACUCCUAAGGAAGAGAAAAAUCAUUCAAUUACAUCUUUUAGAGUCAUAAUACAAUUUACAUCAGAAACAUGAUUGAUAGUACACUGCAGUCAAUAGGCUUAUAUGCUAGUCAGAUGUAUAUGAAUAUGCAAAUUUCCACAACGACUCCUGGAAAUGUACCUGGAAGGUGUCUUCAGAACAAUUAUCAUUAGAUAUAGGAAAAGGGCUAAAUUCAAGCAUGGCAUUAAAGGCAUUGUUAUAUAGUGGGAGAAGAGCAGAACUUAAGUCAAAAAAUCUUAGAUUGACUCUUGCUCUGAUACUUAUUAGCAGAAGUCUAGAGAAAGGUAGUUCUCUGGGAAAAAAGGAGAUGAUGAUGAUACUUUUACCACCUCUUUCAUGGGGUUGUUGUGAAGAAACCUUAGGGUUAGUGAUAUUCUCUGAACCUGUGAUUUCACUGGUAUAUAAAACUCUCAAAUGAGUAAACUAUCUACUGAUGUAGGUUAGCACCAUUUCUAAUUUAUAAUCCUGGAGGGUUGCCUAAAGACUGAGCGUCUCAUGUGAUUUGGCUAGGGUCACAGAAGCAGUCUAUGUCAGAGGUGGAUCUUCCUGGCUUUGAGGCCAGUUCUUUAUCCACUCUUCCACCUCCCUAACUCCAUAGAAAUGGAAGUUGAAGCUAAAUUGUUAUUUCAGGCUGCAAAUCAGAAAAGAAAUUUCAAUUAUUUUAAUUAAUAAUGAAAUGCUGCUAAUUCACAAGUAAAAAUACCGUUCUCUUAUAAUCACUGAUAUUGAUAUAGUACUUUAAUGCUUGCAAAACAUUUUGCAUAUAUUUAGCAAUCACAGUUAUAGAGAAAUGAAGGAUUUCCCUUCAGACCCUCAUAAAUAUCACAAACAGGAUCUAAAAGCAGGUCUCUCCAGACUUUAAGUCCAGAUUUCUUUCUUUUUGUUGUGGUGUAAUUGGUUAGUUCAGUCUGAUUGUAAUCCUAUUGGGGAGUUUUCUUGGUAAAGAUACUGGAGUGGUUUGCCAUUUCAUUUUCUAGCUCAUUUUAUAAGUGAGGCAAUCAAGGUGAAGUGAUCUGUCCAAGAUCACCCAGCUAGUAAGUGUUUGAGGCUGGAUUUAAUCUUAAAGCUUCCAACUUAAGGGAGGCCAUUCUAUGCUACCACCUAUCACUACCUACCUACUCCACAUUUCUAUUUACUACAUCAUAUAUCUUAAGUAUAUAGAAUUUUUUCCUAUGCAUUUGAAUCUAAGGUCUUUGAUAACAAAAACUACAUUAUUAUUUUUCCUUUUUUUUGUAUCCUUAAUGCAGAGCACAUUACCUGGUGCAUAGUAAGCUUUUUAUAAAUACUGAUUGGCUGAGUCACCAUGUAAUCGAAUCAAUUUUCUAGCAAAAUUCUAAUAUUAUAGGUCAUCAAAUUUCCUGCAUGUCAGUUGUUUGGUUUUGGGUUGGUUUUUUUUUUAAAGAAUUUCUAUAAGGACAUUAUAGAUUAUAAAAUAUUAAAGAUAUAAAUGACCUUCAGGAUUGCUUAAUUCAUCCUUCACCCCUGCCUCUAUUAUUGAGGAAGGAGUGAAGCCCAAGGGGGGAGGAGAUUGUUUAAGUCAUAAAAUGAAUUAGUAGUAUGUCAAGAUAGAAGUUGGUCCAGUUUUCCUUUCACUGUGAUACUGCUUUUUCUUUGAAAUUGGAGCAUCCUAGCUUUUCAGAGAUGGAAAAGAUUACAGGGCUAUUCGAGUAUAACUUGACAUGUUACUAGGAAUCCCCUCUAUAACAUGUCUGUACAAAAUGAUCAUCUGGUCUCCAUUUGAAGACCUUCAGAGAUAAGGAUCUCGCUACUUCCAAGGUCGCCCAUUCUGCUUCAAGAGAGUUGCUUUAGACAAACUGACUCCUGUGAAAGAUUUUAGCUUAAAAAGCCCAAGGUCUUCCACUGCAUCCAGGGCCAUUUCCAGUCAUCUUGACAUGUGUCUUACUACUGAACUCAGAUGAGAAAAGGAGGGAAUAUGACUGGUGAAUUUGCACAGCUCUGUCUUACUUAAAUAAAAUUUACUUCUAAGUCAAGAUGUUCUUUGUCCUCCUCAAGAAUGAAGGACAAAUAAUGGCAAACAACAGAUUGCUGUUAUGCAGCUUCCACUUACCAAUCUAGUACUUAAGAUUUAGUGAAGUCACUUCUGGGUUUAGUUCCUUCAACUAGAAAUGAUUUGAUGAUUUGUCAAAAAAUAUGAAUCAUAAAAAUAAAAUAAAAUAAAAUGCUGCCCAAAUCUCGUAGAACCAGAGGGCAAAGUGGAAAUAGAAAGAAUCCAACUCCUGAAAGAAAUCUCAAGAUGAAAGCUUGCGGGAAUAUUAUGGUCAAAAUCAUAGUUUUCUUUUAGGGGAAAAAACAUUGUAGACAAAAACAAAUAGUUCAGGUAGAGAGAAUAGGUGGAGGAAGUAGAAAAGGUAGAUUCAAAAAAAAAGUUGAUUCAAAAAAACAUUUUUUUAAUUUAAAAAAAUGUAAUAACAUUUAACUAGAAGUAAAGGAUCAUAUGGCAAGUUGGGACAUGAAUGAACAAAUAAUGAAUUAGAAAUGAAGUGGAAUAUAUACUGUAAAAAUUAUGAAGAGGAUAAUUUUUAGAGAAACCCAAGAGAAUUUGUCAGAACUGAUGCAGAAUGAAAUAAGCAAAUCCAAGAGAAAAAUUUAUAUAGUACCAGUGUUGUCAUGACAAACAACUUUAAAAGAUUUAAGAAAUCUGAUCAGUGUGAUGACUACCUAUGAUCCUAAUGGACCUGUAUCCUGAUAGAGAAAUGAUGGAUGUGAGGUGAAGAUUGGGGCAUACAUGUUUUAGACAUGGCCAAUAAAGGAAUUUGUUUUAUCUGACUAUGCAAGAAUUUUAUUUUUUAUUCUUUUACAAUUUGGGAGAGGGAAGAAGCAAGAAGAGAGAAGAUAUAUCUUUAUUGAAAAGGAAUAAAAUUAAAAAAUAAUGUAAUAGCAUAGUAAAUGCUCCCACUUCAAAAAGAAAGAGAGAAAGGAAGAAAGGAAGAAAGAAAGAAAGAAAAAAAGGGAGAAAGGAAAAAAGAAAGAAAAGAAAAAGAUAUAAAUAAAGAAAAGAAAGGAAGGAAGGAAGGAUGGAAGGAAGGAAGGAAAGAAAAAAGAAAGAGAGAGAAAAAGAGAGAGAGAGAGAGAGAGAGAGAGAGAAAGAGAGAGAGAAAGAGAGAGAGAGGAGAGAAGAAAAGGAAGCUCUGGACUAAUGAUUCUUAUGGACUUUUCCAACCCAAAAUCUUAUGAUCUUAUGUUAAUAUUCUCUUCGCAAUAUCCUUGCCAAGUGGUCGACCAGUCUCUCUUGAAUGCCUUCAGUGAUGGAUAACACAUCAUCUCCCUAGCCAGCCUAUUUCAGUUUGAGAGAGUUCUUUUAGGAAGUUUUUCCUUACACCAAGCCAAACUCCACCUCCCUGUAAUUUUCCCCUAUUGCUUCUUUCUCUUCCUUCAAGGGGCAAACAUAAUAUAUCUAAUUCUUCUUCUUCAUGAUACCCUUUCAGAUCCUGGGCAAUCUGUCCAUUUCCUUAUUCCCUUUCUUUUCAUAGUGUCUUCACAUUUGUUAUCUGUAACAAUGAUAUGCAUUUUCCCCUUCAAGGCCCUUUGUGUAGAAGGACAUUAGAAAAGGACAUUCCCAGAGGAACCACCUGAUAUUUUGAAAACUAUUUCAACAUGGGGCAAGAGAGUCCUGGGUUUAUCAUCAUUUUGGCCCUAUGUUCAGAUCCCUGGCUUUGUUGCUGUCUAUUUCUAAGUUUCACUUUUCUCAUCUGUAAAAUGAAGGGGUGGCCUAGAUGAUCUCUAAGGUAUAUUACCUAAAAUAUAAAUAUAUAUAUGUAUAUAUUUCACAUCUAGUGGAAGCAUUCAACCACUUAAUGACUAUUGCCAAUUAAUGUACUUUUCCUUCAAUUCUGUUAAUAGUGCCUCAAUGAUGAAUGUUAAUAAGGAGAUAUUUUUGCUUGGGAAGGCAUAUUGGUGUUUGCCUGCCAGACAGCCAACAUUAUUUCCUUUAGGGAAGGGGAUUUGAAAUAAAGGGUUUUGGAAUAGUUAUUUAUAUAGAAAGGCUGGGCCAUUCUGUGUUUAUAGUAUCUCUCUUUUAUAGAUGCCCAAGUUAUUAUUUUUUAUUGGCUUGGGUACUUAUUUGGCACAUUUGUAAACAAUUAUGUAGUUAUGCAGAUGUUGUGCAGUCAGGCCAUAUGCAUUUCCAUGUUAAGAGUAAACUCUUAAAGAGAUUCUCACUGGAUACCAUCAUAAAAGAAUUAUUGCAAUGUAAAAAAUAAAAUCAAAAUGAGUCGACUCAGAAGUUUUCACACAUUCAGGACAUCCUGUAGAUUCUGGAAAAUUAAUUGGAACCUUUUCUGCUCACACAAAUUCCCUAACAGUCUGUGACUUUUCCUGUCCAUGUUUGGGGGAACAAAUAUCCAAGUAUGACAGUUAAUCUAAUGGUACAGCUAUCUUUACUGUUGUACUUUCCACUUUACAGAGAUCUUUCUCUACCAGUCUUUCUCAGGAUGUUAAUUCCUGGCCCUAAUUCACAAUGUUCUGCUAUAGAUCAGGGCAAGGAUUGAAGUCAAAACAGAUGAAUCCCAGUCCCACUUGUGCUACAUAUUUCCUCUGUGAUUUUUGGUCAAGACAUUUCAUCUCUAUGAUCCUCAGUUUCUUCAUCUGUAAAAUGAAAUGAAAGCAGUGUCAAAUCCAGUUUCUGUCUGCUUUUGUAGAAUCCUAGCAAAUAUGCAUGUACAUAUAAUAAACAUAUUAUAUACAAUAUUUUAAAAUAAAAUUUUGUUACAUUAAAAAAUGUAAAAUACAUCCAUAGUUUGAGGGUCAUGUAAAUCACAAGCUAUGGGCAGCAAAUUAUAGUUUGCCAACAUCUGGACUAGGUGAUCUCUGAGAUUUUCUCUACUUUCACAUCUUAGGACAUUAAAUGAGGGAAUAGAAGCUUAUGGCAGAGAAGUAAUGCCUUUGUCUAUACAGUUAGCUAGUGAUGGAACUGAGACUAGAACACAAAUCUCCUAAUGUCAGUUCUGUGUUAUUAUUAGUCAGAUUUUUCUGGGAAACUGCUACUCGCUCUAGUGGAUACUGCUAGUAUGAAUACUAAUUCUAACAUGAAGUAUGCUCCUGAAGUCUAUCAGAAAACAGAUUUCCGUUUUUAUAGCCUUUCAAAGAUGAUAAGAUCUUGACCCAAUCAAUUCCAUCUCUUGAUAGUCUCAGGUCUCCUGUUUAACGUCUGCAUUCCUCUCUAGUCUCUGGUAUAUACAUUAUCUCCUUCUAAUCCAGUUUUUUUGGUAACAAGGUCAUUGGGAAGGGAGAACGGGAAAGAAAGAGCCAUACUUUCUAUUCCCUCUCAGAUUGCCUUGAAUUCUCAGCUUCUGAAUUUGGAAGCUUCUUGCAUUCUGCCAAGUGACUCCAAACCAUUUUGUUAUUUUUAUAUGUAGUCCAAGAAAUAUGAUUUGUUCCUCUUUUACCAGCCAUAAGGUGUUUUCUGUGUAGAGUCAUCUGUCUUUAGUCAAAGAUACAAAACUCUUUGAUCCUUUAAAAUUGGUUAUGGACUUAUGUUACUUUUAAUAUAUUGAUUGAUUUUGUCAAGUUAUCUGGGUUUUUGGUGGUUAAUUAGAAUUUGGAUGGACCCAUUCUUACACAAGUAUAAAUUUAAGGAACAGCAGCUAGAUGGUAUUCACCUAAAAAAAAAAAAAAGUGGGCAUUUUAAAAACAAUAAGAGCUAACAUUUACAUAGUAUUUACUAAGUGCACUAAAUACUUUAAAAUAUUAUCUUAUCUUAAUGGAUUAAUAUGAUGUUAUCAGUAUGAUACAACCACAACAGAAGCAACGUUUUAUAAUUCUAGCCUAUAUGAAGAGAGGCAGAGAGUCUAAGAUGAGAAAGCUAAAAAUCCUACUCUACUCCACCUUGGUUAGAUCAAUUUGCUAGCACUAUGUUCAGUUGUUAUGUCCUAGAAAGUAUAUUAAUAAACUGAAGACUAUCCAAAGAAGGGUAACCAGGAUUGUGAACCUUGUGUCCAUAUCAUGUAAGAAAUUAGAUAUAUUUAACUGAGAGAAAAGAAGACAAGACAGAAAAGAUUUAAUCACUCUCUUCAAGUGCUGAUAAUAUUCAAAAUGAAUAAUAAUAAUAGAAAACAUUAUGUUUUCUGAACAUGCAUUAUUUCAUUUGCUCAAAAAAACCCAAUCGUGUUAAUGAGAAUUGAAAUCUGGUCUUGCACUUAGUAUCUGAUGCAGCACUUAGCAGAAUGCCUAUUACAAUAAGUGUUUAUUGACUAAUUGGAUUUUAAUCCAAAUAUUUAUGACUCAAUGAGCAUUUAUUAAGCACCUACUAUGUGUCAGGUAUUAUUAUACCCUCUAGGAUACAAAAAGAAGCAAAAGGUUCUUCCUGCUCUCAAAAAGCUUACACUUUACUGGGAGAGCCAAUAUAUAUAUAUAAAAAAUUAUACAAACAAGCUGCAUACAAGAUAAAUAAAACAUAAUUAACAUAAUAAGACUCGAAUUAAGAGGAACUCCCAAAUGUGGAAGUCUGGUCUUAAUCAGGUUUAUUUUGGAGGCAGAACCAAAAGCAAAUGCUGGCUUGAUGUAAAGGUGACUUUACCCACAAUUAGAGCUAUCCAAGUGUGACACAGAUUGUGUUUAGCAGUAAUGGGUUCCCUAUUACUGGAAGCAAGUUUAGAUUCCUUUUCCUGAUGUUACACAUGCACAAUUUGAGGCAUUCUACCUUUUUCAGACUCAUAUUAUACUACUCUCUUCCCCACACUCUAUCCUCCAGUAAAAAUGAACUUCUGGACUUAGAUUUCUGGAUUCAGAGUUCUUUCCUAUUCUUCCAUAACCGAUUUGCUAUUCCUGCAGUGCCCUCUCCCCUUCUUUCUUUUUUUAGUUCCUACCUCUUUUUUGACAUCCAGUUGAAAUGACAGCUUCUCAGAGAUGCUUUCUCCUUGUACAGUUCACAGCAUUUUCUUUGAAACCUAUCCCCAUAUUAGACGGUACUAUAUUGUGAGCUCUUUGAGGACAGGAAUUGUGUCUCAUUUAAAUUUUUUAAAACACAAAGACUGACACUUAGUAGGUGAUUAAUCUGUUUAUUAAUUAAUUUUAUAGCUCUUACACUGCAAAAAGCAGUACUUUUCAUCUAAGAGGUACUUCAUAAAGAUUUCUUGAAUUCAUUUCCCUUUUGGAUCUCAUUGUGUGAAUGACAGGAAUGUUAAUAACUUUUAUGCUGUUUUCUUUGAUCUACAGGAGUCUGUUAAUUUCCUUUACUAACACCGAUUAGCAGCUGUUCUGCCACAUAUCAUCUGAGAGAGUUGCCUGAUCCACUGCAUGGUUAGAUGACUUGCUCAGGGUCACACUAGCAAUAUUUAUCCAAGGCAAGACUUAAAGCAGCUCUUCCUGACACCAAGGUCAACUCUCUAUUCACUGUAGCACAUAGUCUGUCAAUUAUAAUAAUAAUAAUUCACA